CAUGGCAGGAGCAAGCAUAUCGGGAUUAAGUAUCACUACAUAAGAGAUCUUGUCAAGAAUGGAGAAAUCGAACUUAAGUUAAAGUGAAUCGGAAGAUCAGAUAGCGGAUAUUCUGACUAAACCGCUGAAGGCAGAAACGUUCGAGAGAUUGAAAUCGAUGCUUGGGUAUACGUAAAUUAUUUUGAUCAAUUUACGGGAGGCUGUUGAAAUUAUAUAAAUUGAUAAAAAAUAAUUAAAAU
This 239-nucleotide long non-coding RNA is filed under the name Nicotiana benthamiana. RNAcentral's name for it is "long non-coding RNA (NBEN_LNC041615)". The record is from RNAcentral. Lineage: Eukaryota; Viridiplantae; Streptophyta; Magnoliopsida; Solanales; Solanaceae.